CUCCGCCCAGCACGGCUGCUUUGGGGGCGCGGUUCUCCUCUCCGUCUGCAAGGAAUUACCUUCCCUGCCCGGUGCAACUGCCUUUGCGGCGGGAUGUUGCUACGGGCUGAUCGCCUCUCAGCUCUUCCGCCUUUAUAUGUAAUCGGUGUAAACAAUGUAUUAGGAAGGAGCAGAGAGAGUCUUGUACCUGAUUCGAACCCUAAAUGGUGGAGACAGAACAAAACUGGGCAGAAUUCUGACCCGUCACACAUCUGACAACAAAGGAGAUUAAAGAAACCAGAAGCUCAAGAUUCUUUUAGGAAAGCCUGCAGGGGGACAAAAGAACAUUCAAAACAUCCAAACAUGCUGAGACAAAAUGCUAAAUGGAUGUCUCACUGUAACACCAAACACAAUGUCAAAACCAUCUGUCAGGGAGAAAACUUGUCACCUGUUGAUAUGACUUGUCCCUUCCCUCUUCUCUGUCUGAGCCCUGGUCUACACUACGAGUUUAGGUCAAAUUUAGCAGUGUUAGAUCGAUUUAACCCUGCACCCGUCCACACAACAAAGCCAUUUUUGUCAACUUAAUGGGCUCGUAAAAUCGAUUUCUGUACUCCUCCGCAACGAGGGGAUUAGUGCUGAAAUCAACAUCACCGGGUCGAAUUGCCAAAAAAAUCUCCAAGGGCAUGAAGGACAGAGGCUAUCACAGAGACCCGCAGCAGUGCUGCGUGAAACUUAAGGAGCUUAGGCAAGCCUACCAAAAACCCCAAGAGGCAAAUGCCCGCUCAGGGUCAGAGCCCCAGACAUGCCACUUCUGUGAUGAGCUGCAUGCAAUCAGGGGGUGCCCCUACCACUGCCCCACCCCUCUACAUGGACUCCUGCAAGGGGGGAGCCUCACACAACAGGGAUGAGGAUUUUGGGGAGGUUGAAGAUAGCACACACCAGGCAAGCAGAGAAACCAUUCUCCCUGACAGCCAGGAACUGUUUAUCACCCUGGAUCCAAUAUCCUCCCAACCUGGGCUCCUGGACCUUGAAGGCGGAGAAGGCACCUCUGGAGAGUGAUAUCAUUCAUGGUCACCUGGUUGAAAUAGGGGAAUUUUAUUCAGAGGACAUUCAGAGGUGGCCGUUCCUGCUGGGCUGUUUGCCUGUGGCUGAAAAGAAAUCAUCCCUGCUGUUGCCACACGGUGGAGGGGAGCAGUGACGCGAUCAUCCCAGAGAAUUCUGCAGAUGUUUCAACACUGCGACUAGCAUCUCCGUCCCAGAGGCUAGUGCAGAUAAAAAGGUGAAAAAAAUGCACUCACGAUGAAAUGUUCUCUGAGCUCAUGCAGUCCACCCAAACUGAAAGAGCCCAGCAGAAUGCAUGGAGGCAGACAAUGGCAGAGUCCAGGAAAGCACAAAAUGAAUGCAAGGACAGAUGGCUGGAGCAACAGGAGAGGUGGCGGCAGCAUGAUGAAAGGAGGCAGGAUGCAAUGCUGAGGCUACUGGAGGAUCAAACUGAUAUGCUCUGCCAUAUGGUUGAGGUGCAGGAAAGGCACAGACCGCCACUGCAGACCCUGUGUAAUCAACCACCCUCCUCCCCAAGUUCCAUAGCCUCCUCACCCAGACGCCCAAGAAUGCAGGGGGGACCUCCGGGCACCCGACCACUCCACCCGAGGACUGCCCAAGCAACUGAAGGCUGGCAUUCAAUAAGUUUUGAAGUGCAGUGUGGCCUUGUCCUUCCCUCCUCCCCCACCCCUCCCGGGCUACCCUGACAGUUAUCCCCUUAUUUGUGUGAUGAAUUAAUAAAGAAUGCAUGAAUUUGAAACAACAAUGACUUUAUUGCCUCUGCAAGCGGUGAAGGAAGGGGGGAGGGGAGGGCGGUUGGUUUACAGGGAAGUAGAGUGAACCAAGGGGGCAGGUUUUCAUCAAGGAGAAACAAACAGAAUUGUCACACCGUAGCCUGGUC
Non-coding RNA from Caretta caretta (loggerhead turtle), 1921 nucleotides. NCBI's taxonomy places the organism in Eukaryota, Metazoa, Chordata, Testudines, Cheloniidae. The record is from RefSeq and is a predicted model, not a curated record.